RNAcentral lists this ribosomal RNA (292 nucleotides) under uncultured bacterium. RNAcentral's name for it is "partial 16S ribosomal RNA". The record is from RNAcentral.
GGACUACUAGGGUUUCUAAUCCUGUUUGCUCCCCACGCUUUCGCGCCUCAGCGUCAGUCACGGACCAGGUUGCCGCCUUCGCCACCGGUGUUCUUCCCAAUAUCUACGAAUUUCACCUCUACACUGGGAAUUCCACAACCCUCUUCCGCACUCCAGACCACACGUAUCAAAUGCAGCCCCCAGGUUAAGCCCGGGAAUUUCACAUCUGACUGUGCCAUCCGCCUACGCGCCCUUUACGCCCAGUCAUUCCGAGCAACGCUAGCCCCCUUCGUAUUACCGCGGCGGCUGGCAC